This 307-nucleotide ribosomal RNA is filed under the name uncultured bacterium. RNAcentral describes it as "bacterial SSU rRNA". It matches the Rfam family "Bacterial small subunit ribosomal RNA", at positions 209 to 507 of the family's 1533-position model. The record is from RNAcentral.
GACCUUGCGCUGUAUUGAGCGGCCGAUAUCAGAUUAACUAGUUGGUGAGGUAAAGGCUCACCAAGGCGACGAUCUGUAGCGGGUCUGAGAGGAUGAUCCGCCACACUGGAACUGAGACACGGUCCAGACUCCUACGGGAGGCAGCAGUGGGGAAUUUUGGACAAUGGGCGCAAGCCUGAUCCAGCCAUGCCGCGUGAGUGAAGAAGGCCUUCGGGUUGUAAAGCUCUUUCGGCCGGGAAGAAAUCGCACAGGUUAAUACCCUGUGUGCAUGACGGUACCGGAAUAAGAAGCACCGGCUAACUACGUG